RNAcentral lists this small nucleolar RNA (133 nucleotides) under Rhinopithecus bieti (black snub-nosed monkey). RNAcentral describes it as "Small nucleolar RNA SNORA70 (ENSRBIG00000004416.1)". It matches the Rfam family "Small nucleolar RNA SNORA70". Rfam says of the family: snoRNA U70 seems to be exclusive to mammals and is a member of the H/ACA class of snoRNA which contain H (ANANNA) and ACA box motifs. H/ACA box snoRNAs are involved in the conversion of uridines to pseudouridines (5-ribosyluracil) a constituent of structural RNAs (transfer, ribosomal, small nuclear, and small nucleolar). Lineage: Eukaryota; Metazoa; Chordata; Mammalia; Primates; Cercopithecidae. RNAcentral also lists the same sequence under 1 other name. The record is from Rfam by way of RNAcentral.
AAGAGAAUAAAUAGCGUGACCAUAAAUACAGAAAACACACAAAGACUCUUCAGCUGCAAACAACAGCUUCCUUGGUAGUGUAUGCAGCCUGUUUCUUGUAUGGGCUGCUCUAAGACAGGCCAUUCAGAUGUUU